Molecule: ribosomal RNA, 460 nt
Filed under: uncultured bacterium
Lineage: Bacteria
Description: partial 16S ribosomal RNA
Rfam family: Bacterial small subunit ribosomal RNA
Source: RNAcentral
CCUACGGGAGGCUGCAGUGAGGAAUAUUGGUCAAUGGACGAGAGUCUGAACCAGCCAAGUAGCGUGAAGGAUGACUGCCCUAUGGGUUGUAAACUUCUUUUAUAUGGGAAUAAAACGUUCCACGUGUGGGAUUUUGUAUGUACCAUAUGAAUAAGGAUCGGCUAACUCCGUGCCAGCAGCCGCGGUAAUACGGAGGAUCCGAGCGUUAUCCGGAUUUAUUGGGUUUAAAGGGAGCGUAGGUGGAUUGUUAAGUCAGUUGUGAAAGUUUGCGGCUCAACCGUAAAAUCGCAGUUGAAACUGGCAGUCUUGAGUACAGUAGAGGUGGGCGGAAUUCGUGGUGUAGCGGUGAAAUGCUUAGAUAUCACGAAGAACUCCGAUUGCGAAGGCAGUUCACUGGACUGCAACUGACACUGAGGCUCGAAAGUGUGGGUAUCAAACAGGAUUAGAUACCCUGGUAGUC